GUGAGGAAUAUUGCGCAAUGGAGGCAACUCUGACGCAGCCAUGCCGCGUGCAGGAAGAAGGCGCUACGCGUUGUAAACUGCUUUUAACCGGGAAGAAACCCCAGGACGUGUCCUGGGUUGACGGUACCGGAGGAAUAAGCACCGGCUAACUUCGUGCCAGCAGCCGCGGUAAUACGAAGGGUGCAAGCGUUAUCCGGAUUCAUUGGGUUUAAAGGGUGCGUAGGCGGAGCGUUAAGUCAGUGGUGAAAUCCUGCAGCUUAACUGUAGACUUGCCAUUGAUACUGGCGCUCUUGAGUGCGGUUGAAGUGGGCGGAAUGUGCCGUGUAGCGGUGAAAUGCUUAGAUAUGGCACAGAACACCAAUUGCGAAGGCAGCUCACUAAGGCGAUACUGACGCUGAGGCACGAAAGCGUGGGGAUCGAACAGGAUUAGAUACCCUAGUAGUCC
Molecule: ribosomal RNA, 445 nt
Filed under: uncultured bacterium
Lineage: Bacteria
Description: partial 16S ribosomal RNA
Rfam family: Bacterial small subunit ribosomal RNA
Source: RNAcentral